CAUAAAUGACUUUAAAAGUUUAAGUAUAUCUUAUACUAAUAGUGAUCUCAUUCGAAAAAUUUUUAGGCUACUUUCGAGAGUUUGAGAGGCUAAGGUGAUGCAAUUUAGGAAGCCAAAGACCUUAACAUCUUAUCCCUAGAAGAACUUCUUGAUUCUUUCAUGACUCAUGGUUAACCAUCAAGUAAAAUAUUGAAGAAGAGGC
This 202-nucleotide long non-coding RNA is filed under the name Elaeis guineensis (African oil palm). RNAcentral describes it as "long non-coding RNA (EGUI_LNC057383)". Lineage: Eukaryota; Viridiplantae; Streptophyta; Magnoliopsida; Arecales; Arecaceae. The record is from RNAcentral.